CUCCUAAAUGUCCUAGGCUGCACGCGCACUACACUGACGCAUUCAACGAGUCUGAUUACCUUUUGGUAACCUAUCUUGAAGAGGAUGGGAAAUCUUUUGAACUUGCGUCGUGAUGAGGAUCGAUGAUUGCAAUUAUUCUCCUUGAAUGAGGAAUGCCUAGUAGGCGCAAGUCAUCAGCUUGCACUGAUUACGUCCCUGCCAUUUGUACACACCGCCCGUCGUUGCUACCGAUUGGCUGUGGGAUAGAGCUUGGAGGAGGAUCCUUGGGGGCAACUCCUUGUGCUGCAAAUCCAAGCAAUAUUUCUCAGCUAGAGGAAGCAAAAGUCGUAACA
RNAcentral lists this ribosomal RNA (332 nucleotides) under uncultured eukaryote. RNAcentral describes it as "partial 18S ribosomal RNA". It matches the Rfam family "Eukaryotic small subunit ribosomal RNA", at positions 1470 to 1796 of the family's 1831-position model. The record is from RNAcentral.